AUUGAACGCUGGCGGAAUGCUUUACACAUGCAAGUCGAGCGGCAGCGCGGCCUUCGGGCUGGCGGCGAGCGGCGAACGGGUGAGUAAUGCAUCGGAACAUGCCCAGUCGUGGGGGAUAACACUUCGAAAGAAGUGCUAAUACCGUAUACGUCCUGAGGGGGAAAGCGGGGGAUCGCAAGACCUCGCGCGAUUGGAGUGGCCGAUGUCAGAUUAGCUAGUUGGUGGGGUAAAGGCCUACCAAGGCGACGAUCUGUAGCUGGUCUGAGAGGAUGAUCAGCCACCCUGGAAUGGGAACAGGGCCCGGCUCCCAAGGGAGGCAGCAGUGGGGAAUUUUGGACAAUGGGGGCAACCCUGAUCCAGCCAUUCCGCGUGAGUGAAGAAGGCCUUCGGGUUGUAAAGCUCUUUCGGCAGGAACGAAACGGUGGGCUCUAACAUAGUCCGCUAAUGACGGUACCUGAAGAAGAAGCACCGGCUAACUACGUG
Molecule: ribosomal RNA, 483 nt
Filed under: uncultured bacterium
Lineage: Bacteria
Description: partial 16S ribosomal RNA
Rfam family: Bacterial small subunit ribosomal RNA
Source: RNAcentral